This is an RNA transcript of Crotalus tigris (Tiger rattlesnake), 8171 nucleotides long. It is a transcript of the gene named double zinc ribbon and ankyrin repeat domains 1, with no coding region annotated. The record is from RefSeq and is a predicted model, not a curated record. The transcript is spliced from 12 exons. NCBI's taxonomy places the organism in Eukaryota, Metazoa, Chordata, Lepidosauria, Squamata, Viperidae.
GAAUAGACGUAACGGAGAUCGCCAUGGAGACGGAUCCCACCAAAGCCUUUUUGAAUUUUCGACUGUAUCGACGCGUUCGGCAUUGUGAAGAGAUCGUAGACGACUAAGUAAACAGAAGGAAGAAAAAAGAUUAAUAAAAAGAUCUUUAAAGGGAGAAUCAGACUUUUUAAUUUGUCGGAUCUGUAUCCUGCAACUUUUCCUGCAAAAACCUAAUUUUUGGUGAAAUAAUGACUGCUGGAUCUAUUUUAACACCUCAGAUUAUACCACUUCGAAUUUCAAGUAGCAGAGCAAAACAUGAAAUAGAUACAAAUACUCUUGUUGAAAUGAAAUCAGAUACACGUGAUGUGACCAUACAUUUUACUAUUGAUGGAAGUAAACCACAAUAUUUUAAGAAGUUUGAUUAUAGACAUCAUAAUACUUUUAAGUAUAAGGAACCAAUUACAUUACCACCUGGGAAAAUAACCAUCAAGGCAUUGGCAGUUACAAAAGAUUACAGAGAAAGUGCCAUUGUAACAAAAGUAUUUGUAGUAGAACAUGCAACUUCAGACCCUCAUGACCUUGAUAAAGAUGAGAAUUUCCUGAAUUGUCUCACUAGAAAGCAGAUUGAAAGUGAAUUGCCUGAUUUAAAGCUAAGAAAGAAAGAAGUCAAUAUGGAAAGUGAAUCCAGUUGGAAUGGUGCAGCACAUAAAUUAACAGGUUUGUGGAAUGAAAAAACAUCUUUGUCCUUACAUGUUGAUGGACCAUAUUCAUUGAAAAAAUAUUUGAAUGUCUCAAAUAUUAGACAAGAGUCGAACUCUGCUGGGUUGAUAUCUCAGUCACAGGAUGCAGUACUUUGCUUUGCAUGUGGUGCAGAAAAUCCACUUCACAUUAAAGAAUGUAUGAUCUGUGAGAGCAAACUUUCUGAAGCUCAGAUGAAUAUCAACUUUCGAAUCAAACAACAAUCAAUUAUUUCAUUGCCAAUCUCAAGACCUGACACCGAAGAGAAAAAAGACCAAGGAACUCAGACUGUUGGAUUGUUCUACCCAUCUCACAAAUAUCUAGAGAAGAAAGAAAGUGAGGCAUUCUUGCAAAAGGAGAAGCAGAUUAAGACAAAUAAUCACAAAUCUCUGCUCACAGCUAUCAGCCCUGGAAGAGGCUAUUGGAGGAAGCAAUUAGAUCAUGUCUGUGCACAUCUUAGAAGCUAUACACAAAAUAAUAUGGAGUUCAGGACAUUAAUUGGAGAGCCUCAGAUGGGAAAGCUUAUUUCUGCUACUGUUCAUAAGGAUGGCUAUCAAGUCAGUCUCCAGAUCAAUUAUGCACUUGCUAAAAAGGUUUGUGAUAGGUAAGGCAAUUUGGGUGAAAGAAGGAAUGAAUUGCUGGUAGAAAUUCACAAACCCCAAGAAGUUCUAUAGCUGCUUUCUGGUGCAAGGAGCCGCUCAUUCCAGUACCUUCUCCGGGUCCAUCUUCACCCCUUCAUUGAGAUCCGGUAGCCCAGGAUUGAUAAAAAAAUAGCCAAUGGUAAAAUGAAACAAAUACAGAUACAACACAGAUACAUGUGAGCUGUUUUAUUUAUUUUACCUUGCGGCGCCUUAAAGCAAAGUGCCACCAACAGUGUGUGAUUUACAAUGGAUCUAACCAUUGUGAAAGAAAGAAAACACAGUUUUAAAAUGUAACAAACAAUAUUUAGGUACAAUUACAAAGAAAUUGUACAAGAGAAACCAGCUUCUACUUUUUUGUCUUUUCUCCAUGGAAGUUGAGUCAUGAUGGUGAAAAGAAAAGAACUGAAAGAACUGACAUUGAAGAUGGUUGAUCUUUUACAUUUUCCAGAAAACAGUAGCCAAAGAAAGACAAUGGAACAAGAUGACACUAAGUAAUAUCCAAAAAUGUAAGGAUGAGUGCCUGGAGAGAUAUGAUAAGAAUGUGAAGAUUUACAAUAGAAAAGGAGAAAAACUUCACUGGAUGAUGUCAAUGAAGCCACGUUACAUUGAUUUAAAUAAAUGAGGGUCCUUAACACCCAAAUUACUGGGCCAAUGAUCCAAGAAAUUGCUAAAAAGUUUGCAAAGGAGCUCGGGAUAUCAGAUUUCUAAGCAUCAAGUAGUUGGCUCAAGAAAUUUAAACUGUGACAUGAGAUGUCCCAGAAAGUAUUGUGUGGUGAAUCUAAUGGAGUUCCAGUAGAAGUUGUUGAAGAGUUCAUUGAAAAGUUUCCAGACUUUGCCAGUGGCUUCAAAGAUGAUAACAUCUUUAUGCAGAGCGUGGUCUCUUUUUCAAGGCAAUGUCUGACAGGAGCCUCGUUAUGAGGGGUGACAAAUGUAAGAGUGGACAACUUUCUAAAGAAUGUUUCACAGUUCUGCAGUGUGCCAGCUUAACUGGAGAGAAGCUAAAACCUUUGGGGAUUGAUAAAUCGGCAAAGCCACACUCAUUCAAGAACCUGCAGCCCAAAGACCUUCCUGUCACCUGGAAGUUUUUGGGUCAAAUGGACCCAACAACUUGACCAGAAGGUAGGGAGAGCUCUAGCAGAGGACAACUUUCAAAAAAUCCAUUCAGCCUUUAUAUCAGCCAACUCUUCUCAAGAUUUACUAGAACUAUAUAAAAACCUAGUUCACAAGCUACAACCACUACUAGCACGUGCCCCUAGCUUCUCAGCUAAGAGACCUUGCAUUGCCUCCAAACCAUGGUUUGACAAGGACGUAGAAGCCAAGAAUGCUCUUACUUGGCAUAUAAGAUGUAUAAAACUGAGAGAGGAAAUGGCAAUAAAACUACCCUUAAACAUCUUCUCACAGUCAAAAAACAAUUUAAGCAAUUAAUUGCAUUUAAGAGAUAAGACACAAGGUCUUUCUGGAGCACUCAUUGAGGCAACUUGGGAAUUUAACUUUUGAGGGAUGUGUGAAGAUCCAUUGAGUGAGAGAAGAAGGCAUACAAUGAAGGAUUUACCUAAGUGGCUCCCGGUUUCAGAAUCUGAAAUGAAAUCUCUUAUUGGCCAACUUAGAACUGGGAAGGCCCCAGGAGCUGACUUCAUUUCUGCUGAACUAUUAAGGAAUAAUAUGGCCUAGUGGAUAUCUGUCCCAGCAGUGCUAUUUACCUAUAUCGAUACCACUGGUCAUGUCCCAGAGGAUUGGGGCCUGGCAACUGUUGCCUCAAUUUUUUAAAAGGGAAAGAGAGACAACCUUGCUAAUUACAGACCAGUAAGUCUACCAAAUAUAAUCAGCAAAUUCUAUGCCAAACACUUCCAAGAUAAAUUAAAGGAGUGACUGGAUCUUGAGAACUUGAUUGCUGAAGAGCAAGCUGGGCUUAGAGAGGGGAGAGGCACCAUAGAUCAGUGCUUAGGCCUCCAUCAUUUGAUUGAAAAAUAUGCAUCAAAUAGAUCUAUAUCAUUAUAUGCUGCCUUUAUAGAUCUCAAAGAAGCUUUUGAUAUGGUUAUCAGGACUAAGCUAUGGAAGAAGUUGGAAGCUGCUUCAAUUGAUCAUAGAAUUCUCCAUUUGUUACGUGUCUUACAUAGUAAAAUAUCCCUCAGGGUUAGAUGUAAUAUGCAAGGAUCACUCUCGAAGUCAGUCCAAACACAAAAGAGGGUUACAGAGAGAUGCAUUUUGGCCCCCUUGCUUUUCAAUUUCUAUAUUAAUGACAUGGUAAAAUGAUUAAAGAAACCAAAUUAUCAUCCCUCAAAAAUAGGCCUUUAUGGACGGGGAAAGUGUAGUAAUCAGUCCUUAGUCAUUGAAGCGUAAAGAAAUGGCUACCCACACGCAGCCUUUAUUUGUUUAUAUAGAGCUUUACAAAAUAAAAAAGUUACUGCAUGGCAAUAGCAUUUCAUUGGCUAAAAUCCUUUACCAAUCCUCAAGAGUAAAAAGCUAGAGGCCAUAAACAGGGAAACUUGUUGUUCACCAGCCAGCCUUAUCAAACUGGCAAGGUCACACAGACCUGCGCACUUUCACGUCACUAUAGUGAUGUGAGGGGGGGAAGAUAGAUGCAGAACAAAGACACAAGCAUUGGGGGGGCAGUUUUCUGGACACGACUUUUGCCUGUCUAUCACCUCUACAUCUCUCUCCUUUUUGUUUUGUUAGACGAAAUAUCGCCGUAAGCGGGGUUAAUAAAAGGAUUAUAAUCAGGAGAGGAGCAUCCUUGCAGUUGUUUAUAUAGGGCCAAAACUUGACCCUGAGGCAAUGUGAGAGAGGAUCUGCUGGGAUUUAAAGCUCUAAUACAUAUAUUGCAAAAUGAAGGAAUACAUUGCAUGAAACAACAUCCACCAACCAAAAUAGCACAAGUUAUGACUGAAUAACGUAGGAUAUUUCCCAGUAAUCCUGUGGGUAACCAAGCCCAAAGGCUUUCCCACCAAGAUCCUAAAGUAUCCAUUUUCAAAUUAGAGGCCAAAUUGUGUAAAAUAUCAAUUUGAUGCUGAAUGGUUCGUGAAUUAUCAGAAAUAUUGAAACAACACAUGCCCUCAAAACUUUCACAACCCAAAUGUUGGCGUAGAAGCAAAUAAUCAAUUGCGGCACAAUUUUGUAAAAUAGCCUUUCUCAAAUCGGGCAGCUCAUGGUUGAUCGCUGAAAUAGCUGAAGAAGUAGCAUUAAUUGUUUUUGCUAGAUUACAUGCAAUAGCAUUAAUGUUGAGGUGAGCACGAACAGCAAGUCCUGGUACACCCACUAAAGAUAUAGCCAAUGCUACAUAUUCUGCUUGAUUAAGUAAGGUUGUCUCAGAGUCACAAGUAUUGUCUAGCGUAACCGCACAUCGAGAACGGCUUGAAUGAACUUGUUGUUUGGAAAGCAAAACAGGAAUCAGCCGGCUGAGACAACACUGCGCUUCACUAAUAUUAGCAGGAAUAUAAUUAAAAGUUUCUUGACCACAUGUGAAAAACCAUCCUUGCGGUAGCCAAACAUGUCCAAAAUGAAAAGAAGUCUCUUCAAAAGCUGUACAGUUUAAAACAGGUGAGCUAAUGCGACGACAGUGAGGUUUUUUAUUUGAAGAAGUACAAUUAACUAUUUUUGCACGUUAUAUUUGCAGGAAUUGCUACCACUGGGGUGUGUAAAGCAAUAGCAUCAGGGGGUGGAUAAUAAGCAGUAACCCCCCCAUCUAGAUAUAGCUUUAUAGUUAAAGUUUCCAUUUAAUAAAAUUGUACUAUAGUCAGUGAAGUUUUGAAUUACUGCAGAAGGGGUGCAAACAGGAACUAAACAUGUAGAAAGCAAAUUUUCCAUGUCAUAUGCUUCAGAUAAGCAAAAGGCAUCAUUGUGUGUGAUGUUAGCCAGCUGCACCCAUAGAUUUUGUUUCAUUCGUUGCUCGAAUGAUUGUUUGGGUGGAAUGACAGCUGCUGUUGCCAUAGGGCAGAUGUUAAUGAUCAGACACAAGCAAAUGAUGGCUAAGGAAUUUGCAGUUAAAACCGCAAAAAUGGCAGCGCACAGGUUCUCUGGGGUUUGCUCUGCUUGUUGCUGCUGCAGCAUCGCCUGUGCUUUGGCAGUCAAGUUUUUCACAUCUCCCCAUGUCACUGGCGCCUGGCAUGUCGGGAUCGGAUUGGUUGCUGUGCCAUCUGUAGAGUCAACUUGGCCAUUUUCGGGGCUGGAUCCAGGGACUGGUGCCAUGACAUCCUUGGCUGGGCGAACACAAUGCGCUGGAAUCCACACCGGUCCUGUUGGAGUAAGUACAGCAGCAUAGCCCCACCCCCAAGUGAUCAGAGGGACAGGUCCCAACCAUGUUUUGUCAGGUAAAGCCCGAUAAUAUACUAGAGGGGGAGGCAAGCUUGUUUUUUGUUGGAAGUGCCUCUGAUAAGCAGUUACAUUUUGAAUAGAAACAUUCAAUUGGUUUAAUGUGAAUAACACUUUUUGGACCUGCUGUGUUUAUCCAUGACAAAUUGGGUACCCGAGAGCCCUCCUUUUUUGUUUGUGAAGGCAGUCCUUAAAGGUCCGAUUAGCACGUUCCACGAUGGCUUGACCCAUGGAAUUAUAGGGAAGACCAUGAAUAAGGACAAUAUUCCAGGUUGUACAAAAUUGUAAAAAGGCCACUGAAGAAUAGGCUGGCCCAUUAUCAGUUUUUAAGGAAGAGGGCUUACCCAAGGCUGUAAUAGCCGAAAAAAGAUGAGAAAUAACAUGUGCAGCUGUUUCCCCUCGUUGAGGCAUGGCCCAAAUUGCUCCUGAAUAGGUAUCAAUGGAUAAAUGAACACAUUUCCAGGGAGCUAAAGAGGGAACAUGGGUAACAUCCAUUUGCCAUAGUUGAUUAGAGGCAAAACCACGGGGAUUAACUCCCGUGUCCCCCGAUGGAGAUGCCCCAGAACAUUGGGGACAGAAUAAUAUAAUUUGCUUGGCUUGGUCAAUUGGAAUAUGGCAAGCUUAUGCCAGCCCUCUAGCAUUUUGAUGAAAAAAGGAAUGACUGAAAAAAGGGUCUGAAAAUAGCGUGGGGAAAGCAUGAACUGCGGCAUCUGCCUGACUGUUGCCUUCAGAAAGAAGCCCAGGAAGAGAAGAGUGACUGCGUAUGUGAGAAAUGAAAUAUAAAUGCCUCCUAUUUUGCAGCAGCUGCUGCAAAGUUAAAAACAAAGCCAUGAGAUUGGGAUCAAUCCUGGGCGUGAUGUAAGCACCUGAAAGAUUAAAAAUACGUCGACACAAAUAAUGAGAGUCAGAGAUUAAAUUAAAAGGCUGUUGAGAAAAGGUGUGAAAAGCCAAGAUAGCAGCAGCUAAUUCUGAGCAUUGUGGUGAAGAUUGUAUUGCAGUGUAGGACACUUUCCAGGUAUCAUCAUGAGGAUCCUUGUAAGCAAUUGCUCCUCUCGUUUUUCCUCCAUCUGAAAAGACAGUAGAAGCUUGUGGCAAGGGAGAAGGAGAAUGCAGUGGGCGGACUGGAAAGGAAGAAGUUAUUAAACAAGUAAGUCGAGGAUCUUUAGGCAGAUGAUAGGAAAUAGAACCUAUAUAAUCAGUCAAAGAGCAUUAAAGAGAUAAAUUAUUUUGUGAAUAAAAUUGAAAAUCAGACUUUGGAAUAGGAAGAAUAAUAUUAAUUAAAUCAGUUCCAUUUCGACGACAAGCUCGAGUGCGUCCCAAGGUUAUGAUUUCAGCAAUAGUCUGGAUAAAAAGGUAGAAUGUUUUGUGAUGGGGAAUGGGGUAGGUACAGCCAUUCAAUGCAAUAUACCUUUUGUACUUCUAUCACAGAUAGUACUCUGGUAGGUAAUUUACUAGUAGGAAAAAUCAAAAGUGUUAACUGACAAUUUUUAUGUGGAAUUCUGUCCACAAAUUGAGUAUUCAUGAUGUCAUUAAUUUGUGCAACUGUGGCAAGUGCCACAGGCGGAACUACAAUGAGAUCUCCAGGUUGUUUUCCUUUGGUCAAUAAAUCAAAUAACGGACUGAGCAAAUUUGUAGGCAAAGAAAAAUAUGGGCGAACCCAAUUAAGGGUACCCAAUAAUUGUUGCAAAUUGACCAAUGAAAUAAUUUUGGGUAAGCUCAAACGAGGAAAAACUGGGGCAGAAUAAGAUUGCAACAUUUUAUGGCCUAAAUAGAGAUAAGGAGCAUGUAGCUGUAUUUUUUCUGGAGCUAUCUGCAAACCAUAAAGACCUAAAUCAUUUUGCAUUUCUGAAAGCCAAUUAGAUUGUAUUUUUGGUGCUCCAACUAAAAUAUCAUCCAUAUAAUGAUAUACCAAAACCAAUGGGUGACGUUUGUGGAAAGAAUCUAAUGCUGCAGCGACAUAAAGUUGACACAAGGUGGGGCUGUUUAACAUUCCUUGUGGCAAAACUGUCCAGUGACAACGUUUGCUAGGUUCUGAAUGAUUCACUGCAGGCACAGUAAAGGCAAAUUUUUCCUGAUCAGGGGGACAUAGAGGGAUGGAGAAAAAACAGUCCUUUAAGUCAAUUACCAUUACUUCAUGAUCUUGAGGAAUCAAAUUAGGAUUAGGCAUUCCACACUGUAAAGGGCCCAUAGGUUGAAUACAAGUAUUAACAGCCCUUAGGUCAUGAAGGAGACGCCAUUUACCACUUUUCUUUUUUAUAACAAAAACAGGAGUGUUCCAUGGACUAGUGGAAGGCAUCACAUGACCAGCAAGCAGCUGAUCGUUAACCAGCUGGUGAAGAGCCGUUAAUUUUUCAUGUGAUAGGGGCCAUUGAUCAAUCCACACUGGCUCUUUAACCAGCCAAGUCAAUGGGAGGGCAGUAAUCUUAGUCUUCCAUGGUGAGGUUGGCACCCAGCUUACUGAGCAGAUCACGUCCCCAAAGGCUGACAUGAAUAUCUAAUAUGAAA